GGGUGACAGGAGUAAACAUCAAGGAUGAAUAAACAACAUGAAUCAGCAAAAGGACUUGUUUUGGACUUGUUUUGGACUUUGCAGUGACUAAGUGACUUUUUAGUUGUAAACAUGUUUUGGUUAUAGGAUGACUAGAUAGUAUGCCCAUGUUAGAUAAGUUGAUGAUGUAACUAGGUAGUGUGCUUAUGUUAGAUAAGUUAGACAUAAACAAGUUUGUUGUAAACAUAUAGAGUAUAUAAGCGCGAGGGAAACUCCAUGUAUUUGCUCACAAUCAACUCUCAUCGCCUGAGAGUAAGAUCGUGCAGUGUGAGCCAGCCACCUCGUGUAUUGCUUUGUGUGGUGUGCGAAUAAACCAGCAUUUCAAAAGGCAAUCGAGUUCGUGCUUGGUGUUCGCGUACGUCGCGGUCCGGGGUCCAGUGCAGAUAUCCGGAAGGGAACUCCUGGCCAUGGCGUCCCCCAGGAUCCAGGCUGUCAUCCGGGAGAGGCACAGGAUGAGGGAGUGUCCCGUGUGGGAAGAGGUGACCGCGCAGCUGGUGUAUGUGGACAUCAAUGCCAGGACUGUGUGCUGGUGGAAUCCACUGUCUGGGGAGGUGCAGACCGUGGGCCUGAGAGACCCUGUUGGCUGUGUGUCUCUGCGCAGAGAGGGCAGCUACGUGGUGGCCUCUGGCACCUGCCUUGGCCUCCUGGACUGGGCGACGGGGCAGGUGGAGUGGGCAGCCUGGCUGGACAGGGACAAGCCCCACAACAGGUUCAACGACGGGAAGGUGGACCCCGCCGGGAGGUUUGUGGCAGGCACCAUGCCAGAAGCGUCCGCCCCAGGACUGUGGGAGCCGGGGCAGGGCUCCCUGUACACACUCUACACUGACCGCUCCGUGGUCAGACAGCUGGACCAGCUGGGCAUCCCAACGGGCUGGACUGGUCCCUGGACCACCGCACUCUCUACCACGUGGACUGCCUGGACUACUCUGUGCGGGCCUAUGACUACGACCUGCAGACAGGAGGCCUGGGUAGUGGCUGCGGUUGCUAGCCCCCCACGCCCUCCCCAGGCAAAGGCAUCCGUGGCCAGGCCCCCACACCCUCCCUGGGCGGGGCCACCGUGACCAGCCCCCCACACCCUCCCUGGUAUAGGAGCCUCCUUGGUCAGCCCCCACGCCCUCCCUGGGCGGGGCCUCCAGUGGCCAGCCCCCCACGCCCUCCCAGGAUAGGGGCCUCUGUGGCCAGCCCUCCACACCCACCCUGGGCGGGAUCCUCCGUGUUCCUCCCCCGACACCCUCACGAGUCCCCUCCUGGGGUCCCAGAAGCACCACUGGGUCUGUCACUCCCUCCCGUUGUUAAGGCCACGCUAUGUGACCUCCUGGUCUGGGCAGUGAGGGGCCACGCGCCUCUGUCUGUCCUGCCGCAGCAGACCCACAGUUGGUGUGCCAGAUGGAGCCAAAGCAAGGCAUGCCAGAUGGGCUGUGCGUGGACACCACGGGGACACUCUGGGUGGCCUGCAUUGACGGAGGCAGGGUGAUCCGCAUGGACCCCGAGACAGGGACACGGCUGUGCACCCUGGAGAUGCCAGUGUCCAGGAUGACGUCCUGCAGCUUCCGGGGGGCUGACUACUCCAACCUGUACGUGACCUCUGCAGUGGACAGCCUGAGUCCAGAGCAGCUGUUGCGGGAGCCACAGGCAGGACACGUCUUCAAGGUCAUGGGCCUCUGGCGUCCCGCCCCUUCGCUGGCUGAGGGACCCCACAGUCCAGCGCAGCUCAAGCCAGGCCUUGGUCCCUGGGGUCGGGCCAGGCUCCGCUCUGGCAGGGCGCUCCCUGCCUGACCACUGUUCACAGCUGACAAUAAAUGUGGCCACUGAGGUUGGCCUCUCUGCCUCCA
Molecule: RNA transcript, 1871 nt
Organism: Marmota monax (woodchuck)
Lineage: Eukaryota; Metazoa; Chordata; Mammalia; Rodentia; Sciuridae
Gene name: regucalcin-like
Exons: 6
Source: RefSeq, a predicted model, not a curated record